RNAcentral lists this ribosomal RNA (497 nucleotides) under uncultured bacterium. Its description in RNAcentral is "partial 16S ribosomal RNA". It matches the Rfam family "Bacterial small subunit ribosomal RNA", at positions 28 to 507 of the family's 1533-position model. The record is from RNAcentral.
GAUGAACGCUGGCGGCGUGCCUAAUACAUGCAAGUCGAGCGAACAGACGAGGAGCUUGCUCCUCUGACGUUAGCGGAGGACGGGAGAGUAACACGUGGAUAACCCACCUAUAUGACUGGGAAAACUUCGGGAAACGGGCGCUAAUACCGGAUAAUCUCUUGAACCGCAUGGUUCAAUAGUAAAAGACGGUUUUGCUGUCACUUAUAGCUGGAUCCGGGCCGUAUUGGCUAGUUGGUAAGGUAACGGGUUACCAAGGGAACGAGGCGUGACCGACCUGAUAGAGUGGUCGGCCACCUGAGAACUUAGACACGCUCCUGACUCCUACGGUAGGCAGCAGUAUGGAAUCGUCCGCAAUGGUGGGAAGCCUGACGGAGCAGCGCCGCGUGAGUGAUGAAGGUCUUCGGAUCGUAAAACUCUGUUAUUAGGGAAGAACAAAUGUGUAAGUAGCUAUGCACGUCUUGACGGUACCUAAUCAGAAAGCCACGGCUAACUACGUG